This 658-nucleotide long non-coding RNA is filed under the name Salvator merianae (Argentine black and white tegu). RNAcentral's name for it is "lncRNA (ENSSMRG00000020208.1)". Lineage: Eukaryota; Metazoa; Chordata; Lepidosauria; Squamata; Teiidae. The record is from RNAcentral.
UUCUAACAUCUUUCUUGGCAGAACAAUCACUUCUCCGUUCACCCCAGCUCCCCACCCCGCUAGAUCUACAAAGCUGCCAUCUGGCUGUUCGGCUUGUACUGAAGCUUCUCAUAAUCUGGAGGCCUCCCAAAAGAGAAGCAGCGUGAUGUAAGUCUUUAAAGACAUCUUCUCAUAUGGUGUGGAAAAGUAUGGUUUUAAAGUUAUGCCUCCAUAGCAGCAGGCCUAGAAGCGACAGUAAUCAAGUCUGGAGCCCACCUCCAGUCUCAUAUGGCUCUUGAACUUGACAUCACUGAGCACUAGAAUCCACUGGCAGCUGAACUACUCUGGAGCUGGUAGGAUACUGAACAUCUCCCACUGAAGGCAGAGCAAGUGAAGUCACAGGUAGGUCAAGUACACCUAUAUACAGUGCAUAAAUUGUAUUUUGAAGGGUAGCAUAGUUGAANGAACUGAGUGCUAGAGUAGAACCUAGGAGGUUCAAAUCCCCAGUCAGCUAUGAAACUACACAGGGUGACUCUGAAUUGCUCAUUGUCUCACAGCCUAAUAUACCUCUCAAGGUUGCUGUAAAGAUAAAAUGGAAGAGAGGAGAAUAGUGUUUGAUAUCAAGGGUGUGCUCACACUUUGGCCUAGUAAGCACUUUGUUGAGGCCUGAGUGCCUGAG